UAUGAAGAACGUAGCAAAAUGCGAUAAGUAAUGUGAAUUGCAGAAUUCAGUGAAUCAUCGAAUCUUUGAACGCACAUUGCGCCCGCCAGUAUUCUGGCGGGCAUGCCUGUUCGAGCGUCAUUUCAACCCUCAAGCACAGCUUGGUGUUGGGACUCGCGUUAAUUCGCGUUCCCCAAAUUGAUUGGCGGUCACGUCGAGCUUCCAUAGCGUAGUAGUAAAACCCUCGUUACUGGUAAUCGUCGCGGCCACGCCGUUAAACCCCAACUUCUGAAUGUUGACCUCGGAUCAGGUAGGAAUACCCGCUGAACUUAAGCAUAUCAAUAAGCGGAGGA
RNAcentral lists this unclassified non-coding RNA (332 nucleotides) under soil metagenome. Its description in RNAcentral is "partial contains 5.8S ribosomal RNA, internal transcribed spacer 2, and large subunit ribosomal RNA". The stretch from base 2 to 120 matches the Rfam family "5.8S ribosomal RNA", at positions 36 to 154 of the family's 154-position model. The record is from RNAcentral.